AGUAGGUAGUUGACGUCAGACCGCUCUAAUUCAAUCUGUGUCGUUCAGUGUUUCUGUUUUGCCAGUUCUAACUUUUGUCUUCCUGUGCUCAGAACCUGCCUCCCUGCCUGCCUGCUUACCCACAUCAUUCACCUGCACUUCUCUCCUCCCAGUCUUCAUUGCAAUAAACCUGUGUCUGUCUGACCUGACAGUCAGAUCUUGUGCAGAUUUUUACGGGGCUUUCACACCACGAAUAAAGGCAUCAGCCGCCAUCGAUCACGCUGUGAGGAAACAGCCGAAAACAACAACAACACGGAGGCUCCGUAGUCCGAACAAAGACUUUAAAAAAAACAACUUUAUUUCUCCCUUCAAUGUUGACAAAGGGA
Cottoperca gobio is the source of this 365-nucleotide long non-coding RNA. RefSeq lists it as uncharacterized. The transcript is spliced from 2 exons. The record is from RefSeq and is a predicted model, not a curated record. NCBI's taxonomy places the organism in Eukaryota, Metazoa, Chordata, Actinopteri, Perciformes, Bovichtidae.